UGGGGAAUUUUGCACAAUGGGGGGAACCUUGAUGCAGCGACGCCGCGUGAGGGAUGGAGGCCUUCGGGUUGUGAACCUCUUUCGCUCGUGUGCAAGCCGCUAUUUGGGUAGUGGUGAGUGUAGCGGGUAAAGAAGCGCCGGCUAACUACGUGCCAGCGGCCGCGGUAAUACGUAGGGCGCGAGCGUUGUCCGGAUUUAUUGGGCGUAAAGGGCUUGUAGGCGGUUUGUCGCGCCUGUCGUGUAAUCCUCUGGCUUAACUGGGGGUGUGCGGUGGGUACGGGCAGGCUUGAGUGCGGUAGGGGAGAUUGGAAUUCCUGGUGUAGCGGUGGAAUGCGCAGAUAUCAGGAGGAACACCGGUGGCGAAGGCGGGUCUCUGGGCCGUUACUGACGCUGAGGAGCGAAAGCGUGGGGAGCGAACAGG
RNAcentral lists this ribosomal RNA (421 nucleotides) under Fusobacteriota bacterium. RNAcentral describes it as "Fusobacteria bacterium partial 16S ribosomal RNA". It matches the Rfam family "Bacterial small subunit ribosomal RNA", at positions 355 to 776 of the family's 1533-position model. Lineage: Bacteria; Fusobacteriati; Fusobacteriota. The record is from RNAcentral.